Molecule: long non-coding RNA, 1021 nt
Filed under: Parus major (Great Tit)
Lineage: Eukaryota; Metazoa; Chordata; Aves; Passeriformes; Paridae
Description: lncRNA (ENSPMJG00000015966.1)
Source: RNAcentral
CCCACUUUGAUCCCAAAAAUCCUCCUGGAACCCCCAAAAAAUCCUCCCGGCACCCCAAAAUCCCCCGCGGCGGCUCCAGUUUCCUGGAAAAUCCCGGGAUUUGGGGAAAAUCGGGAAUGGGGCGUGGCCGGGGCCCCGCGGAGGGGGCGGGGCUUCCAGGAGGGGGCGUGGCCUCGUCGAUGAGGGCGUGGCCUCAGGCGUGGGGUGUGGCCUUGUUGAUGGAGGCGUGGCCUCGGGUGCGGGGGCGUGGCCACAGCGAGUGGGCGUGGCCUCAACAGCGCGAGUCAGUUCCUUAAGGGGCGUGGCUUAUCCGAGGGGGCGUGGCCUGAGCUCUGCCAAAGUCCGGGGCCGCGGGUUCGAGUCCCGGCUCCGACCAUGGCGGUCCCGGCGCGGCGGGCGGUGCUGUUCGACCUUGGCGGCGUUUUGCUCACGCCGGGCCUUCAGCACUUCCUGAGCUCCUGCGAGAGCGAAUGGGCCUUGCCCAGGAAUUUCCUGCGGGACGCGCUGUUCUCCGGCGGAUCCCAGAGCCCGUAUUCCCGAGCCUCGUGCGGCCACAUCACCCUCAGCCAGGUGGGAAUUCCGGGAAUUCCGGGAAUUCUUUCCCCGGGAAUGAUGCCAGGAAAAACCCCGGAAUUCCCACGGGAGGAGGGGGAAGGACAAAUUCCCCUUCCGGGAUUUUGGGAGCAAUUCCCGGGAAAAGGCGCUCAGGCCUUGGGAGUCGCCGUUCCCGGAGGAUUCCGGGGCUUUUCCAGCCGGGAAUUUCCUGGAUCCCUGGGCUUUUCCAGCUGGGAUUUAUCCCAGAUUCCCUGACUUUUCCCAUGGGAAUUUCCCAGAUCCCAGAAUUUUCCCACCUGGGAAUUCCCCCAAAUUCCAGAACUUUUCUCUUGGGAAUUCCCCCCUUCCCUGGGUUUUUCCCACUGUGGAAUUCCCACAUUCCCAACCUUUCCCAGCCGGGAAUUUCCCAGUUUGAUUCCGUGACUUUUCCCAUUGGGAAUUUCCCAAUUUCUUGGGGUUUUCCCAC